UAGCUACAAAGUAGCUCCUUUUCUUCUUCUCCAUCUGCAGGUUAGCUUGUACUUUUUUACUUCCUUACUUACAUACAUGUUGCUUUUGCAAUAUAUUGGACUGAUUGCUUGUUCAGUUGGUAGACAAAGAUCAUGCUUGACAUGCAUGGUGUCCGUCUCCUUUAUAAUGCCAAAGAUCAUGGCAUCAGUAUAAGCUAAAUAUUAUGUUUACAUUUGUUAUCUUUUUGUUGCUCAGUUAUUGAUGCUUGUUGGUAACUAUGACAGUUCUCAAGGGAGCAAUUAAAGGUUAUUAGUAACGUGAUCAAGAUAUGCCUGGUACGGUCCCGACUUCGUGGCCGAACCUGAUUGGCUUUCGUGUGCAAGAUGCAAUUACAAUUAUCCACAGGGAGCGGCCAGAUUUAAGAGGAGCUCGCGUGCUCCCUCCAAACGUGGCCCCGACGCCACCCGCACCAGGAGAAGUCCGUGUUGUCAUCUACAACGACAGCCAGCACAUUGUUAUCCCCCCAGCGCCAUACAUUGGCUAGCCAACUGGCAUUAUAUUUUUUUUUCUUAUACUACAUAAAAGCCUCGCAUCUUUUAUGAAUAAUGCGACAGAGUGUGAUAUCGAUCGCCAUGAAUGCUAUCUAGUGUGUCCAGAGUUGCUUGUAUGGUCGAGUCAUACUUGUGCGUGUGUGUGAGCUUGUGUGAUGAAUCUGCAUAUGCUUCAAUGGUUGUACUACCCAAUAUAUUAAAUAAACAAUACUGUAUUGCCCCGUU
This 756-nucleotide long non-coding RNA is filed under the name Setaria italica (foxtail millet). Its description in RNAcentral is "long non-coding RNA (SITA_LNC006043)". Lineage: Eukaryota; Viridiplantae; Streptophyta; Magnoliopsida; Poales; Poaceae. The record is from RNAcentral.